AGCAACCUUUGCACAACAUGUCUCCAUUUUAUUCCUUUGGAAAGAUCUGGCUAAAUAGAUUUGUCUGAGUGCUAAAAUGUGAUUAUUGAAGAUUUCCCUCUCUGUUAUAUUUAGAGAGACUGAAGGACCAACACUCAGUGUUUUCAAAGACUCUUUAGGAGAUGUCGCUAACUUGACCAAGUGAGGAUAAGAACGCAAAGUCCCCAUGACAAUGUAAUCACUAUGGAGUGACUAUUGAUUGGAACAAAGAAAGCAGGAGUUUCACUUGGGGGAAGGGCGAUAAACUUGUUGAGUGCUGUAGAGGAGGUCAAGUGAAGGACUUUUUCAUAUCUCUGUAUGUUGCAUGAUUUAAGACGUGUGUAAAAAGCACUACCAGUUUGUUCUGUAGAUGAUGUAUUGAGAUAAAGUAGCUACAUGGUUAAGAAAGGCUUUGGCAUUUUCAAUGUGUUCAACCACAGGCAAACCACAGUCAAAUCCCAGUGUUCCUGCUUCCUGAUCAUCACCUAAAGAACUGCCAAGUGUAUUUAUGGCAAUUUGAAUUAUGAUACCUAUGUCCUAAUCAGACACAAAUGCAAAAAAACAACAAAAAAACAACAACAACAACACCCCCCCCCUCCCCCCACAACCCUUCACACACGGUGGUGUUUUGGACCAAGAGCAUUUGUUGUGUUGAGGAAAUCUUAAGGGAAGAAGAUAAAAGUGAGCUCCUGACAAGUGUUUACAGCCAACAUGCUGACAUUGAAUAGUGAGAGAAAGAGAGAGAGGAAAGGCCCUAAGAACACAAGCAGAGAUUGUGAACAAUGGCUCCAUGGCUAAGAGAAGAAAGGGAGGAAAAAACAUUUAAAAAAAAAAAUACUCUGGUGUGGACUCCUAUAUUACUCUCAAAAGAUUUUUCCCCCUAGUGCACUGCACAUAAUAUACAGAAUACAUGAUAUGCAGUUGAUUUGACUAAUCAGACUACCAUUUACAUUACAACAGUGCACUCAACAAAUACAGAAACUCAGAUAUACAUGCUUAUUUAAAUAAAGAUGUCCAUUAUUGAGCCUGACUUAAAUUAGCCCAAAAAUUAUUCAUAAAAUGCUAUUUGUAUCCCAUUGAUAUUUCACUGAAAAAUAUGUACACGUUUUAGGCAUAUUGGUACAGUGUCAAACUACUAUAUGUGCAUAUUUAGCACAACAUUCGCUCAAC
Molecule: long non-coding RNA, 1188 nt
Organism: Ictalurus punctatus (channel catfish)
Lineage: Eukaryota; Metazoa; Chordata; Actinopteri; Siluriformes; Ictaluridae
Source: Ensembl